Molecule: long non-coding RNA, 1402 nt
Organism: Papaver somniferum (opium poppy)
Lineage: Eukaryota; Viridiplantae; Streptophyta; Magnoliopsida; Ranunculales; Papaveraceae
Exons: 4
Source: RefSeq, a predicted model, not a curated record
GCACCGACCGUUUCUUUUCUUAUGGAAUCGAACCCAAACACAUAACCGUGUAUAAGAAGAGUUUUCCUCCUGAAGUUUGAAGACGCAUUUUCUCACUUCUUUGCGAGUUUCGAAUUAGGCAAGUGCAACAUGAGAUCUACAACCAAAUCUAGAUCAUCAAUUUCAUGUUUCUUUAUGCGGAAUAAAUUCUCAGUCUCUAUUGUGGUCGAUCAUUUCGUAUUCUGUAUUCUUUUUAGAGCGGAAGAAUUCUGAGAACAUAUAAGAGAAGAAAAUGAAAAGAUGAUUGGUACGGCGUACGGGAGUUUUUACUUGCUGAGAUUAAAGAAAAGACCAUCAUUCAGUUUUCAUUUGUGUUCAAGUUGUGGGUACCAAUGCAGCCUUUCCAUACAACGAUACAAGCUCCUGACAAAUCACCGUUGGAACUACAGAUAAGGACGCAAGUGCUGCACUCUCCAGCAACUUGGCUUCAUAAAGAAUCCGAGAAAAAUGUGUCACCGUCAAGGAUAUACAUGUAUCCAAGGUUGACCUAUCUCCGUUCCAGUCCUAACGAGUAGAGAAUAAAACCGAAAUAAAUGAUUAAGACGGUGGUGGGAUUAGCAGGAUUGUCUUGCGAUUCUUGGGCAUGAUACAGAAUCAGUCUUUGAUUCAUCCGUCAUGAUUCUCAAAUUACAAAAUUCUUACAUUGAUCAGUAAUGGAAUAUGCUGAAUAUCUCCUUCACUUCAUGUGGUAAGUUGUCACCUUCACAAAUAACUACUUGGUUUUUGAUGCAUUUUAGAUUAACUCUUAUCUUGAAGCAAUGUGUAGCUAGAAGAUUUGGUAAUGAAAAUAGUGAGAGAAAUCCUUGCUUUAAAUUGUGUGGUGCAUUAACCGCAUGUUGUAGCGCUGGGAAAAUUAAAACCAACUACUCCAACUGCGCCGAAUUUUAUAAGCUUUCUUGAUAUUCUCUUGGUUUUUGUUAUCUUUCUCAAUUCUUCCGGAUGUAUUAUAUGAGCUAAGUACCAUUAUUGUUUCGUACAUUAUCACGUUCCAGUCUGACCCUCCUGACUUUGGAGUAGGGCAGUCAGAUAUAAGACCGUACGGUUAGCAGUUCGGAAGAAAAAGAUGUAGAUCGUGCUUUGCUUCCUGAGAAAAUACUUUUCUACAGUGACAGAUAAGAUGGUAAAAUUUGGUUCGUCUCGAAAAUGAUUGUGCGGGUUGUUGUUGGAGUCCAACCUGGUGUUUGACUCGACAAUUUGUUAUUACAAACGAAUGUAUGGAGUUGGCAGCUCUAAAAUUUCUUAGUGAUUUUACUUUUCUUUCUGGGCAUGUAAGGUUUUGUUUCGCGAUGCUUAGCUGUUGGUUGUUCACCAUAUCCUCUAUCAUUAGUAUGCUUAGACGUUUAUGUAAGAAUUUCUUGCUUGA